This 972-nucleotide ribosomal RNA is filed under the name Globoturborotalita rubescens. RNAcentral describes it as "SSU rRNA". It matches the Rfam family "Eukaryotic small subunit ribosomal RNA", at positions 1172 to 1768 of the family's 1831-position model. The record is from RNAcentral. Lineage: Eukaryota; Foraminifera; Rotaliida; Globigerinidae.
AGAGCGUGGAGCGUGUGGCUUAAUUUGACUCAACACGGGAAAUCUUACCGGGUCCGGACAUAUCGAGGAUUGACAGAUUGUUAACGUGCACCAAAGGUGUUGAGUUUUUAAACUUAACAGCUCUUUCAUGAUUAUAUGAUAGGUGGUGCAUGGCCGUUCUUAGUUCGUGGAGUGAUCUGUCUGCUUAAUUGCGUUUCAAAUUUUUUUUGAUUUCUCAGGAGUCGGGUUUACGUGUCAUAUUUACAAUUGAGUUUAUGGUUGAUCGGGCGUGAACCGUGUGUGUUUUAGGACAUGCCGACCAUCGUCCAGUACAUUACUCUUAUAGUUGUUUAUUUGGCCCCUGGCUUUUUUGAACGCAACGGACGUGACCUCAACCCUUAGUUGAGAUGCUCUUGAACCAAGCUUCUCUACGUCUGCUAGACUGCUCGACUUCGGUUGGGUGGAAAGGUGGAUAAACUUUGGGGACGUCUUAAGAUAAAUAUUUUUCUCAAACCAGAGGAAGAUUGCGGCAAUAACAGGUCUGUGAUGCCCUCAGAUGUCCCGGGCUGCACACGUGCUACAUUGAGUAGCGCAGUGUGUAAACUUUAUUAGACUGAUGAGUCCUUAAUUUUUACAUUACGUGAAUCUCAUUGACUUAUCAAACCUGCUCUGAAAGGAGCGGGUAAUCUUUUCGAAGUUCUAGUUUGAUUUUCCUGUGGCGAACGUUUUGAGUCCAUGUUCCGUGUGUUUGCGGUGUCCUCUGUCAGUUUCAUGUAUUGUGGGCGUUCUUUGGUUGACUCAUCGUGGGGACUGAUUCUUGUAAUUAUGUUUCACGUGUCAACCGGGAAUGCCUUGUACAGGUUCCCGGUUCAACAGACCACCUGGAAUACGUCCCUGCCCUUUGUACACACCGCCCGUCGCUCUCACCAAUGAGCUUGAGUGUGAGUAGGUCAGACUGAGUAAUUAUUUACUUGGGAAAUCUGUCAAACACUC